CACGAACGCUCGCGGCGUGCUUAACACAUGCAAGUCGAGCGGAAAGSGCUUCGGGGGUACUCGAGCGGCGAACGGGUGAGUAACACGUGAGCAACCUGCCCUCGACUCUGGGAUAAGCCUGGGAAACCGGGUCUAAUACCGGAUACGACCCAUCAUCGCAUGGUGUGUGGGUGGAAAGAUUUGGUUCGGUCGGGGAUGGGCUCGCGGCCUAUCAGCUUGUUGGUGGGGUGACGGCCUACCAAGGCGACGACGGGUAACCGGCCUGAGAGGGCGACCGGUCACACUGGGACUGAGACACGGCCCAGACUCUACGGGAGGCAGCAGUGGGGAAUAUUGCGCAAUGGGCGGAAGCCUGACGCCCAGCGACGCCGCGUGGGGGAUGACGGCUUCGGGUUGUGGGAAACCUCUUUCAGCGGGGACGAAGCCUUUCGGGGUGACGGUACCUGCAGAAGAAGCGCCGGCUAACUACGUGCCAGCAGCCGCGGUAAUACGUAGGGCGCGAGCGUUGUCCGGAAUUAUUGGGCGUAAAGAGCUCGUAGGCGGUUUGUCGCGUCGGAUGUGAAAGCGGACGGCUUAACUGUGGGUCUGCAUUCGAUACGGGCAGACUAGAGGCAGGUAGGGCCGAGCAUGGAAUUCCCGGUGUAGCGGUGAAAUGCGCAGAUAUCGGGAGGAACACCGGUGGCGAAGGCGGUGCUCUGGGCCUUGCCUGACGCUGAGGAGCGAAAGCGUGGGGAGCGAACAGGAUUAGAUACCCUGGUAGUCCACGCCGUAAACGUUGGGCGCUAGGUGUGGGGUUCUUCCACGGAUUCCGCGCCGUASUAACGCAUUAAGCGCCCCGCCUGGGGAGUACGGCCGCAAGGCUAAAACUCACAGGAAUUGACGGGGGCCCAUCGCACAAGCGGCGGAGCAUGUUGCUUAAUUCGACGCAACGCGAAGAACCUUACCAAGGCUUGACAUCACUCGAAAACCUGCAGAGAUGUGGGGUCCUUUUUGGGCGGGUGACAGGUGGUGCAUGGCAGUCGUCAGCUCGUGUCGUGAGAUGUUGGGUUAAGUCCCGCAACGAGCGCAACCCUCGUUCCAUGUUGCCAGCAUGGGUUAUGCCGGGGACUCAUGGGAGACCGCCGGGGUCAACUCGGAGGAAGGUGGGGACGACGUCAAGUCAUCAUGCCCCUUAUGCCUUGGGCUGCAAACAUGCUACAAUGGCCGGUACAGAGGGCUGCGAUACCGUGAGGUGGAUAGCGAAUCCCUUAAAGCCGGUCUCAGUUCGGAUUGGGGUCUGCAACUCGACCCCAUGAAGUCGGAGUCGCUAGUAAUCGCAGAUCAGCAAAAUACUGCGGUGAAUACGUUCCCGGGGCCCUUGUACACACCGCCUUCGUCACGUCACGAAAGUCGGCAACACCCGAAGCCCGUGGCCUAACCCUUGUGGGGGGAGCGGUCGAAGGUGGGGCCCGCGAUUGGGACGAAGUCGUAACAAGGUAGCCGUACCGGAAGGUGGCACGCGC
Molecule: ribosomal RNA, 1502 nt
Filed under: Actinomadura viridilutea
Lineage: Bacteria; Bacillati; Actinomycetota; Actinomycetes; Streptosporangiales; Thermomonosporaceae
Description: bacterial SSU rRNA
Rfam family: Bacterial small subunit ribosomal RNA
Source: RNAcentral